This 480-nucleotide ribosomal RNA is filed under the name uncultured bacterium. Its description in RNAcentral is "partial 16S ribosomal RNA". It matches the Rfam family "Bacterial small subunit ribosomal RNA", at positions 28 to 523 of the family's 1533-position model. The record is from RNAcentral.
GACGAACGCUGGCGGCGUGCCUAACACAUGCAAGUCGAGCGAGUGAAUCUCCUUCGGGAGUGAAGCUAGCGGCGGACGGGUGAGUAACACGUGGGCAACCUGCCUCAUAGAGGGGAAUAGCCUUUCGAAAGGAAGAUUAAUACCGCAUAAGAUUGUAGCUUCGCAUGAAGUAGCAAUUAAAGGAGCAAUCCGCUAUGAGAUGGGCCCGCGGCGCAUUAGCUAGUUGGUGAGGUAACGGCGCACCAAGGCGACGAUGCGUAGCCGACCUGAGGGGGUGAUCGGCCACAUUGGGACUGAGACACGGCCCAGACUCCUACGGGGGGCAGCAGUGGGGAAUAUUGCACAAUGGGGGAAACCCUGAUGCAGCAACGCCGCGUGAGUGAUGACGGCCUUCGGGUUGUAAAGCUCUGUCUUCAGGGACGAUAAUGACGGUACCUGAGGAGGAAGCCACGGCUAACUACGUGCCAGCCGCCGCAGUAA